RNAcentral lists this unclassified non-coding RNA (263 nucleotides) under plant metagenome. RNAcentral describes it as "partial contains small subunit ribosomal RNA, internal transcribed spacer 1, and 5.8S ribosomal RNA". The record is from RNAcentral.
UUUCCGUAGGUGAACCUGCGGAAGGAUCAUUACUGAAUUGUCAACAAGAGUUGUUGCUGGUCUCCAGAUGGGGGCAUGUGCACGCUCUGUUAACACAUCCACUCACACCCUGUGCACCCUCUGUAGUUCUAUGGUUGGGGGGACCUGUCCUCUCCUGCUGUAGUUCUGCAUCUUUACAUACACACUGUAACAAAGUUUUAUGGAAUGCAUGCAGCGUUUAACGCAAUAAAAUACAACUUUCAGCAACGGAUCUCUUGGCUCUC